Molecule: ribosomal RNA, 493 nt
Filed under: uncultured Oscillospiraceae bacterium
Lineage: Bacteria; Bacillati; Bacillota; Clostridia; Eubacteriales; Oscillospiraceae
Description: bacterial SSU rRNA
Rfam family: Bacterial small subunit ribosomal RNA
Source: RNAcentral
UCCGUGCUCAGGAUGACGCUGGCGGCGUGCUUAACACAUGCAAGUCGAACGGAGGACCCUUGACGGAGUUUUCGGACAACUGAUAGGAAUCCUUAGUGGCGGACGGGUGAGUAACGCGUGAGCAACCUGCCUUGGAGUGGGGAAUAACACAGUGAAAAUUGUGCUAAUACCGCAUGAUAUGACUGUAUCGCAUGGUACUGGUCAUCAAAGAUUUAUCGCUCUGAGAUGGACUCGCGUCUGAUUAGCUGGUUGGCGGGGUAACGGCCCACCAAGGCGACGAUCAGUAGCCGGACUGAGAGGUUGGCCGGCCACAUUGGGACUGAGACACGGCCCAGACUCCUACGGGAGGCAGCAGUGGGGAAUAUUGGGCAAUGGGCGCAAGCCUGACCCAGCAACGCCGCGUGAAGGAAGAAGGCUUUCGGGUUGUAAACUUCUUUUAUCAGGGACGAAACAAAUGACGGUACCUGAUGAAUAAGCCACGGCUAACUACGUG